Molecule: ribosomal RNA, 253 nt
Filed under: uncultured bacterium
Lineage: Bacteria
Description: partial 16S ribosomal RNA
Rfam family: Bacterial small subunit ribosomal RNA
Source: RNAcentral
UACGUAGGGAGCGAGCGUUGUUCGGAGUUACUGGGCGUAAAGCGUGCGUAGGCGGUGUCUUAAGUUUGUUGUGAAAUCUCCCGGCUUAACCGGGAGGGUGCGGCGAAUACUGAGAUGCUGGAGUGCCGGAGAGGUAAGCGGAAUUCCUGGUGUAGCGGUGAAAUGCGUAGAUAUCAGGAGGAACACCUGCGGUGUAGACGGCUUACUGGACGGUAACUGACGCUGAGGCACGAAAGCGUGGGUAGCAAACAGG